Molecule: non-coding RNA, 45 nt
Filed under: Echinostoma caproni
Lineage: Eukaryota; Metazoa; Platyhelminthes; Trematoda; Plagiorchiida; Echinostomatidae
Source: RNAcentral
GCAUUACUGAUGAGACCUAACCAGGUCGAAACAUCUGUCCAAUAC